This 524-nucleotide unclassified non-coding RNA is filed under the name Hevea brasiliensis (rubber tree). Lineage: Eukaryota; Viridiplantae; Streptophyta; Magnoliopsida; Malpighiales; Euphorbiaceae. The record is from RNAcentral.
CUCCUACAUUCAAGAACCGACUUUAGAUUCCAGCACAUAAACUUUAGUUCGGCAGUCUAUAUUUCACUAGUCAUAUAAAAACAUGGGAACAACAAAAUUCUACUAAACUAUGGCAAUUUAUCAGCAAACUAAUUCAGACGUCUCUGGUCAAACCAGAAAGAUCAAAAUCACCAGAAUCAGGCUCCCUUUGUUUAGGAGAGGCUUCUCUUUUUUGAGGAUAGUCUUCAAUGGGUAUCCCUCGCCUCACAGAUGGUGAGGAUGAUGGNNNNNNNGAGUCCCCAAAAACAUCGAAAAAACUACUCCUCAUCUGUUCGGCUGCUUCAAAAAAUCGGUUGAUGCCAUCGAGGAAGUGAUGCUCGAUACCUUCAAUAUCACUUCGAAGACCUGGAAAGCCAAAUGGUGAGUUAUCAAAUUGCCCAACUGAGGAAGACCCUUUAACCACCACGUCUGUGACAUCGUCUUCAGUAUACUCCUUGUUGGACUUCAGGACCUUGACAGGCUCUCCAAGGCACUCUCUGAGAAUC